AACGAACGCUGGCGGCAUGCCUAACACAUGCAAGUCGAACGAGACCUUCGGGUCUAGUGUCGCACGGGUGCGUAACGCGUGGGAACCUGCCCUUAGGUUCGGAAUAACUCCCCGAAAGGGGUGCUAAUACCGGAUAAUGUCUUCGGACCAAAGAUUUAUCGCCUUUGGAUGGUCCCGCGUUGGAUUAGCUAGUUGGUAGGGUAAAAGCCUACCAAGGCGACGAUCCAUAGCUGGUCUGAGAGGAUGAUCAGCCACACUGGGACUGAGACACGGCCCAGACUCCUACGGGAGGCAGCAGUAGGGAAUAUUGGACAGUGGGCGAAAGCAUGAUCCAGCAAUGCCGCGUGAGUGAUGAAGGCCUUAGGGUUGUAAAGCUCUUUUACCCGGGAUGAUAAUGACAGUACCGGGAGAAUAAGCUCCGGCUAACUCCGUG
RNAcentral lists this ribosomal RNA (433 nucleotides) under uncultured bacterium. RNAcentral's name for it is "partial 16S ribosomal RNA". It matches the Rfam family "Bacterial small subunit ribosomal RNA", at positions 29 to 507 of the family's 1533-position model. The record is from RNAcentral.